UUUAGGGAUGGGGUAGGAGUAUC
This 23-nucleotide microRNA is filed under the name Zea mays. RNAcentral describes it as "microRNA miR-3183". Lineage: Eukaryota; Viridiplantae; Streptophyta; Magnoliopsida; Poales; Poaceae. The record is from RNAcentral.